AUCCCAACAUUUUACUCUUUCAUCAAUAGGAAUAAAAGAGAAAAUCAAGAAACUGAUAAUGACUUGACCUGUAAAGUAGAAAAAAUGCCAACUUUGUUCAAAGAUGUAGUUAUAUCGUCAGCGUUUCAGAGAAAAAAUAUCUCACAAUGCUCCUAGCUCUUCAGUAAUACAUGAGUGCUUAGUUGGUAACACGGCUUCAUUUAAUGUAUAUAUAUAAUUAAAUAUUUUUAUGUAUCA
Molecule: long non-coding RNA, 237 nt
Organism: Leptidea sinapis
Lineage: Eukaryota; Metazoa; Arthropoda; Insecta; Lepidoptera; Pieridae
Exons: 2
Source: RefSeq, a predicted model, not a curated record